Sapajus apella (tufted capuchin) is the source of this 321-nucleotide long non-coding RNA. RefSeq lists it as uncharacterized. The transcript has 2 exons. The record is from RefSeq and is a predicted model, not a curated record. Lineage: Eukaryota; Metazoa; Chordata; Mammalia; Primates; Cebidae.
AUGCAACACCUUCUCUGAAUGAAGGCCUGGGCUAGGGAAAGGUUACUCUAGCACUAUCACCUCCCCACCACCUGGUCUUCAGCCUGUUCUCAAGCAUCUUCCCAAGUAGGAGGGGAGAUCAGAUAAAAAGAAUAUGAUAGCCAAUUUUAUUGAGACCAUGAGGCCGUUUCUGAUCCAAUACAAUUAAAUCUAAUGUUUUUGGAUUUAUCCACAGAUGACAGAGUAUUGUGACAAGGCUUAUGACCAUGUUAGAAAUUUUCAAAUUUUCGUUUUCUUUUCAUAGUGUUUAUCAUCAUAGUAACUAAGCAUUUCCAUAAACUA